UGAAUACGAGAUGCUACGGCGUCGAAGCAGUCUAUGUCAUACUUCCAAGAAAAGCUCGCACUGUCAUAAACAAAUAAUGCCUGUACCAUAACCGACACAGGUGGGUAGGUAGAGUAUACUAAGGGGCGCGAGAUAACUCUCUCUAAGGAACUCGGCAAAAUGACUCCGUAACUUCGGGAGAAGGAGUGCCUUAUUUAUAAGGUUGCAAUAACAAGAUCCAAGCAACUGUUUAUCAAAAACACAGGUCUCCGCUAAGUCGUAAGACGAUGUAUGGGGGCUGACGCCUGCCCAGUGCCAGAAGGUUAAAGAAGUUGGUUAGCAUUCGCGAAGCUGAUAACUGAAGCCCUGGUGAACGGCGGCCGUAACAAUAACGGUCCUAAGGUAGCGAAAUUCCUUGUCGGGUAAGUUCCGACCCGCACGAAAGGCGUAAUGAUUUGGAUACUGUCUCGGAGAGGGGCUCGGUGAAAUAGACUUGUCUGUGAAGAUGCGGACUACCUGCACCAGGACAGAAAGACCCUAUGAAGCUUUACUGUAACUUGAGAUUGAAAUUGGACUUUACUUGCGCAGUAUAGGUGGGAGGCGUUGAUAAUAUUCUUGCGGGAUUAUUUGAGCCAUCAGUGAGAUACCACUCUUGUAAUGUUAGAUUUCUAACUUUGUAUCAUUAUCUGGUCAAAGGACAGUUUCAGGCGGGCAGUUUGACUGGGGCGGUCGCCUCCUAAACGGUAACGGAGGCGCACAAAGGUUUCCUCUGAACGGGUAGAAAUCGUAUCUAGAGUGUAAAGGCAUAAGGAAGCUUGACUGUGAGACCUACAAGUCGAGCAGGGACGAAAGUCGGUCUUAGUGAUCUGACGGUGCUGAGUGGAAAGGCCGUCACUCAACGGAUAAAAGUUACUCUAGGAUAACAGGCUGAUCUCCCCCAAGAGUUCACAUCGACGGGGAGGUUUGGCACCUCGAUGUCGGCUCAUCGCAUCCUGGGGCGGUAGUACGUCCCAAGGGUUGGGCUGUUCGCCCAUGAAAGCGGUACGCGAGCUGGGUUCAGAACGUCGUGAGACAGUUCGGUCCAUAUCCGGUGUAGGCGUUAGAAUAUUGAGAGGAGCCUUCUUUAGUACGAGAGGACCGAGAAGGACAUACCUCUGGUGUACCAGUUAUCGUGCCAACGGUAAACGCUAGGUAGCUAUGUAUGGAGUGGAUAACCGCUGAAAGCAUCUAAGUGGGAAGCCCACCUCAAGAUGAGUAUUCUGGUGUAAGGUCACGGGAAGACGACCCGUAAAUAGGCACGAGGUGGAAGUGCAGAGAUGUAUGAAGCCGAAGUGUACUAAUAGACCGUCGGCUUG
This 1334-nucleotide ribosomal RNA is filed under the name metagenome. RNAcentral describes it as "bacterial LSU rRNA". It matches the Rfam family "Bacterial large subunit ribosomal RNA", at positions 1564 to 2925 of the family's 2925-position model. The record is from RNAcentral.